Molecule: ribosomal RNA, 1434 nt
Filed under: uncultured organism
Description: SSU rRNA
Rfam family: Bacterial small subunit ribosomal RNA
Source: RNAcentral
GCUUAACACAUGCAAGUCGAGGGGCAGCACAGGUAGCAAUACCGGGUGGCGACCGGCGCACGGGUGAGUAACGCGUAUGCAACUUGCCUAUCAGAGGGGGAUAACCCGGCGAAAGUCGGACUAAUACCGCAUGAAGCAGGGGCCCCGCAUGGGGAUAUUUGCUAAAGAUUCAUCGCUGAUAGAUAGGCAUGCGUUCCAUUAGGCAGUUGGCGGGGUAACGGCCCACCAAACCGACGAUGGAUAGGGGUUCUGAGAGGAAGGUCCCCCACAUUGGUACUGAGACACGGACCAAACUCCUACGGGAGGCAGCAGUGAGGAAUAUUGGUCAAUGGCCGAGAGGCUGAACCAGCCAAGUUGCGUGAGGGAUGAAGGUUCUAUGGAUCGUAAACCUCUUUUAUAAGGGAAUAAAGUGCGGGACGUGUCCCGUUUUGUAUGUACCUUAUGAAUAAGGAUCGGCUAACUCCGUGCCAGCAGCCGCGGUAAUACGGAGGAUCCGAGCGUUAUCCGGAUUUAUUGGGUUUAAAUGGUGCGUAGGCGGCCUUUUAAGUCAGCGGUGAAAGUCUGUGGCUCAACCAUAGAAUUGCCGUUGAAACUGGGGGGCUUGAGUAUGUUUGAGGCAGGCGGAAUGCGUGGUGUAGCGGUGAAAUGCAUAGAUAUCACGCAGAACCCCGAUUGCGAAGGCAGCCUGCCAAGCCAUUACUGACGCUGAUGCACGAAAGCGUGGGGAUCAAACAGGAUUAGAUACCCUGGUAGUCCACGCAGUAAACGAUGAUCACUAGCUGUUUGCGAUACACUGUAAGCGGCACAGCGAAAGCGUUAAGUGAUCCACCUGGGGAGUACGCCGGCAACGGUGAAACUCAAAGGAAUUGACGGGGGCCCGCACAAGCGGAGGAACAUGUGGUUUAAUUCGAUGAUACGCGAGGAACCUUACCCGGGUUUGAACGCAUUCGGACCGAGGUGGAAACACCUUUUCUAGCAAUAGCCGUUUGCGAGGUGCUGCAUGGUUGUCGUCAGCUCGUGCCGUGAGGUGUCGGCUUAAGUGCCAUAACGAGCGCAACCCUUGCCACUAGUUACUAACAGGUAAAGCUGAGGACUCUGGUGGGACUGCCAGCGUAAGCUGCGAGGAAGGCGGGGAUGACGUCAAAUCAGCACGGCCCUUACAUCCGGGGCGACACACGUGUUACAAUGGCGUGGACAAAGGGAAGCCACCUGGCGACAGGGAGCGAAUCCCCAAACCACGUCUCAGUUCGGAUCGGAGUCUGCAACCCGACUCCGUGAAGCUGGAUUCGCUAGUAAUCGCGCAUCAGCCAUGGCGCGGUGAAUACGUUCCCGGGCCUUGUACACACCGCCCGUCAAGCCAUGGGAGCCGGGGGUACCUGAAGUCCGUAACCGCGAGGAUCGGCCUAGGGUAAAACUGGUGACUGGGGCUAAGUC